This 497-nucleotide ribosomal RNA is filed under the name uncultured bacterium. RNAcentral describes it as "partial 16S ribosomal RNA". It matches the Rfam family "Bacterial small subunit ribosomal RNA", at positions 28 to 507 of the family's 1533-position model. The record is from RNAcentral.
GAUGAACGCUGGCGGCGUGCCUAAUACAUGCAAGUCGAGCGAACGGACGAGAAGCUUGCUUCUCUGAUGUUAGCGGCGGACGGGUGAGUAACACGUGGAUAACCUACCUAUAAGACUGGGAUAACUUCGGGAAACCGGAGCUAAUACCGGAUGAUAUUUUGAACCGCAUGGUUCAAAAGUGAAAGACGGUCUUGCUGUCACUUAUAGAUGGAUCCGCGCUGCAUUAGCUAGUUGGUAAGGUAACGGCUUACCAAGGCAACGAUGCAUAGCCGACCUGAGAGGGUGAUCGGCCACACUGGAACUGAGACACGGUCCAGACUCCUACGGGAGGCAGCAGUAGGGAAUCUUCCGCAAUGGGCGAAAGCCUGACGGAGCAACGCCGCGUGAGUGAUGAAGGUCAUCGGAUCGUAAAACUCUGUUAUUAGGGAAGAACAUAUGUGUAAGUAACUGUGCACAUCUUGACGGUACCUAAUCAGAAAGCCACGGCUAACUACGUG